GGCUCAGGAUGAACGCUGGCGGCGUGCCUAACACAUGCAAGUCGAACGAAGCACUUUUGGUUUGAGAUUCGUCAAGAACCGGAUUUGACUUAGUGGCGGACGGGUGAGUAAUGUAUGAGCAACCUGCCUUUCAGAGGGGGACAACAGUUGGAAACGACUGCUAAUACCGCAUAAUGUACAUUGAAGGCAUCUUUGAUGUACCAAAGGAGCAAUCCGCUGAAAGAUGGGCUCAUAUCUGAUUAGUUAGUUGGCAGGGUAACGGCCUACCAAGACUGCGAUCAGUAGCCGGACUGAGAGGUUGAACGGCCACAUUGGGACUGAGAUACGGCCCAGACUCCUACGGGAGGCAGCAGUGGGGAAUAUUGGGCAAUGGGCGAAAGCCUGACCCAAGCAACGCCGCGUGAAGGAAGAAGGUCUUCGGAUUGUAAACUUCUUUUAUGAGGGACGAAGGACGUGACGGUACCUCAUGAAUAAGCCACGGCUAACUACGUGCCAGCAGCUGC
RNAcentral lists this ribosomal RNA (503 nucleotides) under uncultured bacterium. RNAcentral's name for it is "bacterial SSU rRNA". It matches the Rfam family "Bacterial small subunit ribosomal RNA", at positions 21 to 518 of the family's 1533-position model. The record is from RNAcentral.